CAGUCGCCGCGGUAAUGCGUAGGGUGCGAGCGUUAAUCGGAAUUACUGGGCGUAAAGCGUGCGCAGGCGGUUCGUUAAGACAGAUGUGAAAUCCCCGGGCUUAACCUGGGAACUGCAUUUGUGACUGGCGGGCUAGAGUAUGGCAGAGGGGGGUAGAAUUCCACGUGUAGCAGUGAAAUGCGUAGAGAUGUGGAGGAAUACCGAUGGCGAAGGCAGCCCCCUGGGCCAAUACUGACGCUCAUGCACGAAAGCGUGGGGAGCAAACAGGAUUAGAUACCCGGGUAGUCCCUGUCUCUUAUAC
RNAcentral lists this ribosomal RNA (301 nucleotides) under uncultured bacterium. RNAcentral's name for it is "partial 16S ribosomal RNA". It matches the Rfam family "Bacterial small subunit ribosomal RNA", at positions 509 to 807 of the family's 1533-position model. The record is from RNAcentral.